GACGAACGCUGGCGGCGUGCUUAAUACAUGCAAGUCGAACGGGGUCCAGCCAAUCGCAAGAUUGGGGACGACCCAGUGGCGAACGGGUGCGUAACACGUGAGGAACCUGCCCCGAUCUCUGGAAUAACAAGUGGAAACACUUGCUAAUACCGGAUGCCGUCGGACCGCCGCAUGGCGGACCGCCGAAAGAUUUAUCGGAUCGGGAGGGCCUCGCGGCCUAUCAGCUUGUUGGCGAGGUAACGGCUCACCAAGGCUUCGACGGGUAGCUGGUCUGAGAGGAUGAUCAGCCACACUGGGACUGAGACACGGCCCAGACUCCUACGGGAGGCAGCAGUAGGGAAUCUUGCACAAUGGGCGAAAGCCUGAUGCAGCAACGCCGCGUGCGGGAAGAAGGCCCUAGGGUUGUAAACCGCUUUCAGCAGGGAAGAAACUGACGGUACCUGUAGAAGAAGGUGUGGCCAACUACGUGCCAGCAGCCGCGGUGACACGUAGGCACCAAGCGUUGUCCGGAUUUAUUGGGCGUAAAGAGCUCGUAGGCGGUUCGGUAAGUCGGGUGUGAAAACUCUGGGCUCAACCCAGAGCCGCCACCCGAUACUGCUGUGACUCGAGUACGGUAGGGGAGCGGGGAACUCCUGGUGUAGCGGUGAAAUGCGCAGAUAUCAGGAAGAACACCAGUGGCGAAGGCGCCGCUCUGGGGCCGUGACUGACGCUGAGGAGCGAAAGCGUGGGUAGCAAACAGGAUUAGAUACCCUGGUAG
This 757-nucleotide ribosomal RNA is filed under the name uncultured bacterium. RNAcentral describes it as "bacterial SSU rRNA". It matches the Rfam family "Bacterial small subunit ribosomal RNA", at positions 28 to 793 of the family's 1533-position model. The record is from RNAcentral.